This 465-nucleotide ribosomal RNA is filed under the name uncultured bacterium. Its description in RNAcentral is "partial 16S ribosomal RNA". It matches the Rfam family "Bacterial small subunit ribosomal RNA", at positions 28 to 507 of the family's 1533-position model. The record is from RNAcentral.
GACGAACGCUGGCGGCGUGCUUAACACAUGCAAGUCGUACGGUAAGGCCCUUUCGGGGGUACACGAGUGGCGAACGGGUGAGUAACACGUGAGUAACCUGCCCACAACUUUGGGAUAACGCUAGGAAACUGGUGCUAAUACUGGAUAUGUGCUCCUGCUGCAUGGUGGGGGUUGGAAAGCUCCGGCGGUUGUGGAUGGACUCGCGGCCUAUCAGCUUGUUGGUGGGGUAGUGGCCUACCAAGGCGGCGACGGGUAGCCGGCCUGAGAGGGUGACCGGCCACAUUGGGACUGAGAUACGGCCCAGACUCCUACGGGAGGCAGCAGUGGGGGAUAUUGCACAAUGGGCGCAAGCCUGAUGCAGCAACGCCGCGUGCGGGAUGACGGCCUUCGGGUUGUAAACCGCUUUCAGCAGGGACGAAGCUUUUUGUGACGGUACCUGCAGAAGAAGCACCGGCUAACUACGUG